UUCGGAGGAAUAAGAAAGCACAGUCUCGAGAGUGUCCAUGACUUUGCUGAUACUCUCCUCCUAUAGAAAAGUGGUGGAAGAACAGGUCUUCUCUUGUGGCUGUGGAGUUCUGACCUACUUAAUCCACUCACAAGUU
Callorhinchus milii (elephant shark) is the source of this 136-nucleotide non-coding RNA. NCBI's taxonomy places the organism in Eukaryota, Metazoa, Chordata, Chondrichthyes, Chimaeriformes, Callorhinchidae. The record is from Ensembl.